GACGAACGCUGGCGGCGUGCUUAACACAUGCAAGUCGAGCGGUAAGGCCCUUUCGGGGGUACACGAGCGGCGAACGGGUGAGUAACACGUGAGUAAUCAGCCCUUCACUUCGGGAUAAGCACCGGAAACGGUGUCUAAUACUGGAUAUGAGCAUCCUGCGCAUGUGGGGUGUUGGAAAGUUUUUUCGGUGGGGGAUGUGCUCGCGGCCUAUCAGCUUGUUGGUGAGGUAAUGGCUCACCAAGGCUUCGACGGGUAGCCGGCCUGAGAGGGUGACCGGUCACACUGGGACUGAGACACGGCCCAGACUCCUACGGGAGGCAGCAGUGGGGAAUAUUGGACAAUGGGCGGAAGCCUGAUCCAGCAACGCCGCGUGAGGGAUGACGGCCUCGGGUUGGUAAACCUACUUUCUAGUACUGACGAAGACGCAAGUAGACGGUAGGUACGAGAAGAAGACACGGCCAACUACGUAGCCAGCAGCGCGGUAA
RNAcentral lists this ribosomal RNA (485 nucleotides) under uncultured bacterium. RNAcentral describes it as "bacterial SSU rRNA". It matches the Rfam family "Bacterial small subunit ribosomal RNA", at positions 28 to 523 of the family's 1533-position model. The record is from RNAcentral.